Small nucleolar RNA from Pogoniulus pusillus (Red-fronted tinkerbird), 137 nucleotides. RefSeq annotates it as small nucleolar RNA SNORA15. Lineage: Eukaryota; Metazoa; Chordata; Aves; Piciformes; Lybiidae. The record is from RefSeq and is a predicted model, not a curated record. The transcript has a single exon.
GCAUGGACGAAUUCUGCAUUAGCUUUCCCUCAGUAGCUAAUGCAGUCAGACACUAUGCCAGAGCAAGCUCCUUUUCCACACCAAUUGGCAGGCUCCUUACAUGAGAAGGGACUUGCCUUUGGAAGAGGGAUACAGAA